This 253-nucleotide ribosomal RNA is filed under the name uncultured bacterium. RNAcentral describes it as "partial 16S ribosomal RNA". It matches the Rfam family "Bacterial small subunit ribosomal RNA", at positions 526 to 779 of the family's 1533-position model. The record is from RNAcentral.
CGUAGGGUGCGAGCGUUGUCCGGAAUUAUUGGGCGUAAAGAGCUUGUAGGCGGUUUGUCGCGUCUGCCGUGAAAACUCAGGGCUUAACUCUGGGCGUGCGGUGGGUACGGGCAGGCUAGAGUGUGGUAGGGGAGACUGGAAUUCCUGGUGUAGCGGUGAAAUGCGCAGAUAUCAGGAGGAACACCGAUGGCGAAGGCAGGUCUCUGGGCCAUAACUGACGCUGAGAAGCGAAAGCAUGGGAGCGAACAGGAUU